GGGUCAGUAGGUCGGUCGUGCCACCGGUACGUACUGGUCUCACUGAUUCCUCCUUCCUGAAGAACCGUAAUGCCAUUAAUCUGGUGUUGCGGGGAAACAGGACUGUUACUUUGAAAAAAUUAGAGUGUUUAAAGCAAGCUAACGCUUGAAUACAUUAGCAUGGAAUAAUGAAAUAGGACGAUCGAUCCUAUUUUGUUGGUUUCUAGGAUUGACGUA
Molecule: ribosomal RNA, 216 nt
Filed under: Glomeromycotina sp.
Lineage: Eukaryota; Fungi; Glomeromycota
Description: partial small subunit ribosomal RNA
Rfam family: Eukaryotic small subunit ribosomal RNA (bases 40-216)
Source: RNAcentral